UACGGGGGGAGCAAGCGUUGUUCGGAUUUACUGGGCGUAAAGGGCGCGUAGGCGGUCGUGACAAGUCACUUGUGAAAUCUCCGGGCUUAACUCGGAACGGUCAACCGAUACUGCGGGGCUAGAGUGCAGAAGGGGCAACUGGAAUUCUCGGUGUAGCGGUGAAAUGCGUAGAUAUCGAGAGGAACACCUGCGGCGAAGGCGGGUUGCUGGGCUGACACUGACGCUGAAGCGCGAAAGCUAGGGGAGCGAACGGG
RNAcentral lists this ribosomal RNA (254 nucleotides) under uncultured bacterium. Its description in RNAcentral is "partial 16S ribosomal RNA". It matches the Rfam family "Bacterial small subunit ribosomal RNA", at positions 524 to 776 of the family's 1533-position model. The record is from RNAcentral.